CUCUUAUGAAGAGAGGUUGAGGGACUGGCCCUAUGACACCUCGGCAACCUAUCGCAAACGAUACGGUGCCAAAUCCAGCGGAAUUAUUCCGACAGAUAAGAG
Molecule: non-coding RNA, 102 nt
Filed under: Brevibacillus brevis
Lineage: Bacteria; Bacillati; Bacillota; Bacilli; Caryophanales; Paenibacillaceae
Also listed under: 1 other name
Description: SAM-I sequence
Rfam family: SAM riboswitch aptamer (S box leader)
About the family: The SAM riboswitch is found upstream of a number of genes which code for proteins involved in methionine or cysteine biosynthesis in Gram-positive bacteria. The SAM riboswitch acts at the level of transcription termination control. The predicted structure consists of a complex stem-loop region followed by a single stem loop terminator region.
Source: RNAcentral